UGGGGAAUAUUGGACAAUGGACGAAAGCCUGAUCCAGCCAUGCCGCGUGUGUGAAGAAGGUCUUCGGAUUGUAAAGCACUUUAAGUUGGGAGGAAGGGCAUUAACCUAAUACGUUAGUGUUUUGACGUUACCGACAGAAUAAGCACCGGCUAACUCUGUGCCAGCAGCCGCGGUAAUACAGAGGGUGCAAGCGUUAAUCGGAAUUACUGGGCGUAAAGCGCGCGGAGGUGGUUUGUUAAGUUGGAUGUGAAAUCCCCGGGCUCAACCUGGGAACUGCAUUCAAAACUGACUGACUAGAGUAUGGUAGAGGGUGGUGGAAUUUCCUGUGUAGCGGUGAAAUGC
This 342-nucleotide ribosomal RNA is filed under the name uncultured bacterium. Its description in RNAcentral is "partial 16S ribosomal RNA". It matches the Rfam family "Bacterial small subunit ribosomal RNA", at positions 355 to 689 of the family's 1533-position model. The record is from RNAcentral.